Molecule: ribosomal RNA, 484 nt
Filed under: uncultured bacterium
Lineage: Bacteria
Description: partial 16S ribosomal RNA
Rfam family: Bacterial small subunit ribosomal RNA
Source: RNAcentral
AGUGAACGCUGGCGGCGUGCUUAACACAUGCAAGUCGAACGAGAACGGGUUAUAGCCUGCUAUAAUUGUCAGCUGAGUGGCGCACGGGUGAGUAAUGUAUAGGUAAUAUGCCUCUUACUAAGGGAUAGCAAAUGGAAACGUUUGCUAAUACCUUAUACUCCUUAUUAACAGAAGUUAAUAAGGGAAAGAUUUAUUGGUAAGAGAUUAGCCUGUAUUGUAUCAGUUAGUUGGCGGGGUAAUGGCUUACCAAGACUAUGACACAUAACUGGUUUGAGAGGAUGAUCAGUCACACUGGAACUGAGACACGGUCCAGACUCCUACGGGAGGCAGCAGUGGGGAAUAUUGCACAAUGGACGAAAGUCUGAUGCAGCAACGCCGCGUGGAGGAUGACACAUUUCGGUGCGCAAACUCCUUUUAUAUGAGAAGAUAAUGACGGUAUUAUAUGAAUAAGCACCGGCUAACUCCGUGCCAGCAGCCGCCGUAA